Molecule: non-coding RNA, 31 nt
Filed under: Homo sapiens (human)
Lineage: Eukaryota; Metazoa; Chordata; Mammalia; Primates; Hominidae
Source: RNAcentral
UGCUAAAUGAGUCUUGCACAAACCACACAGC